Molecule: ribosomal RNA, 253 nt
Filed under: uncultured bacterium
Lineage: Bacteria
Description: partial 16S ribosomal RNA
Rfam family: Bacterial small subunit ribosomal RNA
Source: RNAcentral
UACGAAGGGGGCUAGCGUUGCUCGGAAUUACUGGGCGUAAAGGGCGCGUAGGCGGCGCUGCUAGUCAGGCGUGAAAUUCCUGGGCUUAACCUGGGGACUGCGCUUGAUACGGCAGUGCUAGAGGACGGAAGAGGGUCGUGGAAUUCCCAGUGUAGAGGUGAAAUUCGUAGAUAUUGGGAAGAACACCGGUGGCGAAGGCAGCCCCCUGGGCUAACACUGACGCUCAUGCACGAAAGCGUGGGGAGCAAACAGG